This 478-nucleotide ribosomal RNA is filed under the name uncultured bacterium. RNAcentral's name for it is "bacterial SSU rRNA". It matches the Rfam family "Bacterial small subunit ribosomal RNA", at positions 38 to 507 of the family's 1533-position model. The record is from RNAcentral.
GGCGGCAGGCCUAACACAUGCAAGUCGAGCGGUAACAUUUCUAGCUUGCUAGAAGAUGACGAGCGGCGGACGGGUGAGUAACGCGUAGAAAUCUACCUAGUAGUGGGGGAUAGCCCAGAGAAAUUUGGAUUAAUGCCGCAUACGCCCUACGGGGGAAAGCGGGGGAUCUUCGGACCUCGUGCUAUUAGAUGAGUCUGCGUCGGAUUAGCUUGUUGGUGAGGUAAUGGCUCACCAAGGCGACGAUCCGUAGCUGGUCUGAGAGGAUGACCAGCCACACUGGAACUGAGACACGGUCCAGACUCCUACGGGAGGCAGCAGUGGGGAAUAUUGCACAAUGGGCGCAAGCCUGAUGCAGCCAUGCCGCGUGUGUGAAGAAGGCCUUAGGGUUGUAAAGCACUUUCAGCAGUGAGGAAAGGGGUGUCGUUAAUAGCGCCAUCCUGUGACGUUAACUGCAGAAGAAGGACCGGCUAACUCCGUG